AAGUAUUGCACAAUGGGGGAAACCCUGAUGCAGCCAUGCCGCGUGUGUGAAGAAGGCCUUCGGGUUGUAAAGCACUUUCAGUAGGGAGGAAGGUAGUGUAGUUAACACCUGCAUUAUUUGACGUUACCUACAGAAGAAGCACCGGCUAACUCCGUGCCAGCAGCCGCGGUAAUACGGAGGGUGCGAGCGUUAAUCGGAAUUACUGGGCGUAAAGCGCAUGCAGGCGGCCUGUUAAGUCAGAUGUGAAAGCCCGGGGCUUAACCUCGGAAUUGCAUUUGAAACUGGCAGGCUAGAGUCUUGUAGAGGGGGGUAGGAAUUUCAGGUGUAGCGGUGAAAUGCGUAGAGAUCUGAAGGAAUACCAGUGGCGAAGGCGGCCCCCUGGACAAAGACUGACGCUCAGAUGCGAAAGCGUGGGGAGCAAACAGGAUUAGAUACCCUGGUAG
RNAcentral lists this ribosomal RNA (443 nucleotides) under uncultured bacterium. Its description in RNAcentral is "bacterial SSU rRNA". It matches the Rfam family "Bacterial small subunit ribosomal RNA", at positions 359 to 793 of the family's 1533-position model. The record is from RNAcentral.